CGGACGGGUGAGUAAUGUCUGGGAAACUGCCUGAUGGAGGGGGAUAACUACUGGAAACGGUAGCUAAUACCGCAUAAUGUCUACGGACCAAAGCGGGGGACCUCCGGGCCUCGCGCCAUCAGAUGAACCCAUAUGGGAUUAGCUAGUAGGUGGGGUAACGGCUCACCUAGGCGACGAUCCCUAGCUGGUCUGAGAGGAUGAUCAGCCACACUGGGACUGAGACACGGCCCAG
RNAcentral lists this ribosomal RNA (232 nucleotides) under uncultured bacterium. Its description in RNAcentral is "partial 16S ribosomal RNA". It matches the Rfam family "Bacterial small subunit ribosomal RNA", at positions 99 to 334 of the family's 1533-position model. The record is from RNAcentral.